GACGAACGCUGGCGGCGUGCCUAAUACAUGCAAGUAGAACGCACAGUUUAUACCGUAGCUUGCUACACCAUAAACUGUGAGUUGCGAACGGGUGAGUAACGCGUAGGUAACCUGCCUGGUAGCGGGGGAUAACUAUUGGAAACGAUAGCUAAUACCGCAUAAUAUUGAUUAUUCCAUGAUAAUUGAUUGAAAGAUGCUAUUGCAUCGCUACCAGAUGGACCUGCGUUGUAUUAGCUAGUAGGUGAGGUAACGGCUCACCUAGGCGACGAUACAUAGCCGACCUGAGAGGGUGAUCGGCCACACUGGGACUGAGACACGGCCCAGACUCCUACGGGAGGCAGCAGGAGGGAAUCUUCGGCAAUGGACGAAAGUCUGACCGAGCAACGCCGCGUGAGUGAAGAAGGUUUUCGGAUCGUAAAGCUCUGUUGUAAGGGAAGAAAGGGUGUGAGAGUGGAAAGUUCACACUGUGACGGUAUCUUACCAGAAAGGGACGGCUAACUACGUG
This 505-nucleotide ribosomal RNA is filed under the name uncultured bacterium. RNAcentral's name for it is "partial 16S ribosomal RNA". It matches the Rfam family "Bacterial small subunit ribosomal RNA", at positions 28 to 507 of the family's 1533-position model. The record is from RNAcentral.